This 868-nucleotide ribosomal RNA is filed under the name uncultured bacterium. Its description in RNAcentral is "bacterial SSU rRNA". It matches the Rfam family "Bacterial small subunit ribosomal RNA", at positions 34 to 915 of the family's 1533-position model. The record is from RNAcentral.
CGCUGGCGGCGCGCCUAACACAUGCAAGUCGAACGAGAGAUGAGGAGCUUGCUCUUCAAAUCGAGUGGCGAACGGGUGAGUAACGCGUGAGGAACCUGCCUCAAAGAGGGGGACAACAGUUGGAAACGACUGCUAAUACCGCAUAAGCCCACGGCUCGGCAUCGAGCAGAGGGAAAAGGAGCAAUCCGCUUUGAGAUGGCCUCGCGUCCGAUUAGCUAGUUGGUGAGGUAAUGGCCCACCAAGGCGACGAUCGGUAGCCGGACUGAGAGGUUGAACGGCCACAUUGGGACUGAGACACGGCCCAGACUCCUACGGGAGGCAGCAGUGGGGAAUAUUGCACAAUGGGGGAAACCCUGAUGCAGCGACGCCGCGUGGAGGAAGAAGGUCUUCGGAUUGUAAACUCCUGUUGUUGAGGAAGAUAAUGACGGUACUCAACAAGAAAGUGACGGCUAACUACGUGCCAGCAGCCGCGGUAAAACGUAGGUCACAAGCGUUGUCCGGAAUUACUGGGUGUAAAGGGAGCGCAGGCGGGAGAACAAGUUGGAAGUGAAAUCCAUGGGCUCAACCCAUGAACUGCUUUCAAAACUGUUUUUCUUGAGUAGUGCAGAGGUAGGCGGAAUUCCCGGUGUAGCGGUGGAAUGCGUAGAUAUCGGGAGGAACACCAGUGGCGAAGGCGGCCUACUGGGCACCAACUGACGCUGAGGCUCGAAAGUGUGGGUAGCAAACAGGAUUAGAUACCCUGGUAGUCCACACCGUAAACGAUGAUUACUAGGUGUUGGAGGAUUGACCCCUUCAGUGCCGCAGUUAACACAAUAAGUAAUCCACCUGGGGAGUACGACCGCAAGGUUGAAACUCAAAGGAAUUGACG